CCAUGUGAAUGAUGAAAUCACAAGUCAAAUACAGUUAUCCCUGUCUGAUUCCUUCUAAAGGGUGCUGAUAAUACUUAAAUCUGAUACAUUG
Molecule: small nucleolar RNA, 91 nt
Filed under: Leersia perrieri
Lineage: Eukaryota; Viridiplantae; Streptophyta; Magnoliopsida; Poales; Poaceae
Description: snoRNA snoR38
Rfam family: Small nucleolar RNA R38
About the family: snoR38 is a C/D box small nucleolar RNA conserved across yeast, human, Arabidopsis and rice.
Source: Rfam by way of RNAcentral